AACAAACGCUGGCGGCGUGCCUAAUACAUGCAAGUCGAACGGGGUAGCAAUACCUAGUGGCGCACGGGUGAGUAACGCGUGGGUAAUCUGCCUUAAAGUGGGGAACAACUGGUCGAAAGACUAGCUAAUACCGCAUGAGACCACAGAAUCUGAGGAUUUAGGGGUCAAAGAUUUAUCGCUUUAAGAUGAGCCCGCGUUAGAUUAGCUAGUUGGUGAGGUAAUGGCUCACCAAGGCGACGAUCUAUAGCUGGUCUGAGAGGAUGAUCAGCCACACUGGAACUGAGACACGGUCCAGACUCCUACGGGAGGCAGCAGUAGGGAAUAUUCCGCAAUGGGCGAAAGCCUGACGGAGCAACGCCGCGUGAGUGAUGAAGGAUUUCGGUUCGUAAAGCUCUGUUGCAGGGGAAAAAGCAAGUGAUUGUACUCUGCGAGAAAGGGACGGCUAACUUCGUGCCAGCAGCCGCGGUAAU
Molecule: ribosomal RNA, 470 nt
Filed under: uncultured bacterium
Lineage: Bacteria
Description: bacterial SSU rRNA
Rfam family: Bacterial small subunit ribosomal RNA
Source: RNAcentral